RNAcentral lists this ribosomal RNA (435 nucleotides) under uncultured bacterium. Its description in RNAcentral is "bacterial SSU rRNA". It matches the Rfam family "Bacterial small subunit ribosomal RNA", at positions 954 to 1392 of the family's 1533-position model. The record is from RNAcentral.
UGGGAACGCGAAGAACCUUACCUAGACUUGACAUCCCCUGAAUUACCUGUAAUGAGGGAAGUCCCUUCGGGGACGGGGAGACAGGUGGUGCAUGGUUGUCGUCAGCUCGUGUCGUGAGAUGUUGGGUUAAGUCCCGCAACGAGCGCAACCCUUAUCGUUAGUUGCUACCAUUAAGUUGAGCACUCUAAUGAGACUGCCCGGGUUAACCGGGAGGAAGGUGGGGAUGACGUCAAAUCAUCAUGCCCCUUAUGUCUAGGGCCACACACGUGCUACAAUGGUGAGUACAACGAGAUGCGAACCCGCGAGGGGAGCUAAACUCAAAAACUCAUCUCAGUUCGGAUUGCCGGCUGCAACUCGCCUGCAUGAAGCUGGAGUUGCUAGUAAUCGCGAAUCAGAAUGUCGCGGCGAAUACGUUCCCGGGUCUUGUACACACCG